This is a non-coding RNA of Heterocephalus glaber (naked mole-rat), 602 nucleotides long. NCBI's taxonomy places the organism in Eukaryota, Metazoa, Chordata, Mammalia, Rodentia, Bathyergidae. The record is from RefSeq and is a predicted model, not a curated record.
UGAGCACUCUGCAGGUGCCAAGAAGUUCAAGGUCUUGACCUCCAGGACGUGGCCAACCCAGCUGGUCUGACCACCUGGCUCUCUGCUUCCUGCUCCCUUCCCGGGACACCUCUGUAUUUGGAGACACUUUCUCUGUGGAAGGUUGCAGGGCAAGAAGGGGAAGAAAGAAUGGACAUCAGCUUCUUGGGGACUGGUUAUGCUGAAAGCAAUUGAUUUCAGAGUCUGCAGGUCUAUUUGCAGAUCUGGUCUGUGGCCACAGAGUCCCUGGCAUGCCUGCAGGGGAAGGAAUAUCACCAUGGUCAAGACCAAAGUGAGAAGGACCACGGAGGGGGACACUAAACACCUGAAGACUUUGAAAUGGCACAGUGGGUGCAAGAGGAACAUCGUGCCACAAAAUGCCAUCAGAUUGUCCCAGGCAGUCUGGACCAUGACCUCCAUGAGAGCAGGAACUUGUUCCACCUUGUUCUCUGCUGAUGCUCAGUACCUAAAACAACUGAUACACUGCAGAAACUCACAAGUAUUUAUUCACUGAAAGAAAAAGCUGAAACGGGGCCAGGGAUUUAGCUCAGUGGUUUCACCGCCUGCUGCGCAAGCACAAGGAC